RNAcentral lists this ribosomal RNA (253 nucleotides) under uncultured bacterium. RNAcentral describes it as "partial 16S ribosomal RNA". It matches the Rfam family "Bacterial small subunit ribosomal RNA", at positions 524 to 776 of the family's 1533-position model. The record is from RNAcentral.
UACGAAGGGGGCUAGCGUUGCUCGGAAUCACUGGGCGUAAAGCGCACGUAGGCGGAUCUUUAAGUCGGGGGUGAAAUCCUGGAGCUCAACUCCAGAACUGCCUUCGAUACUGGGGAUCUUGAGUCCGAGAGAGGUGAGUGGAACUCCGAGUGUAGAGGUGAAAUUCGUAGACAUUCGGAAGAACACCAGUGGCGAAGGCGGCUCACUGGCUCGGUACUGACGCUGAGGUGCGAAAGCGUGGGGAGCAAACAGG